CUGUGAGCUCGAUGAGUAGGGCGGGACACGUGGUAUCCUGUCUGAAUAUGGGGGGACCAUCCUCCAAGGCUAAAUACUCCUGACUGACCGAUAGUGAACCAGUACCGUGAGGGAAAGGCGAAAAGAACCCCGGCGAGGGGAGUGAAAAAGAACCUGAAACCGUGUACGUACAAGCAGUGGGAGCACGCUUAGGCGUGUGACUGCGUACCUUUUGUAUAAUGGGUCAGCGACUUAUAUUCUGUAGCAAGGUUAACCGAAUAGGGGAGCCGAAGGGAAACCGAGUCUUAACUGGGCGUUAAGUUGCAGGGUAUAGACCCGAAACCCGGUGAUCUAGCCAUGGGCAGGUUGAAGGUUGGGUAACACUAACUGGAGGACCGAACCGACUAAUGUUGAAAAAUUAGCGGAUGACUUGUGGCUGGGGGUGAAAGGCCAAUCAAACCGGGAGAUAGCUGGUUCUCCCCGAAAGCUAUUUAGGUAGCGCCUCGUGAAUUCAUCUCCGGGGGUAGAGCACUGUUUCGGCAAGGGGGUCAUCCCGACUUACCAACCCGAUGCAAACUGCGAAUACCGGAGAAUGUUAUCACGGGAGACACACGGCGGGUGCUAACGUCCGUCGUGAAGAGGGAAACAACCCAGACCGCCAGCUAAGGUCCCAAAGUCAUGGUUAAGUGGGAAACGAUGUGGGAAGGCCCAGACAGCCAGGAUGUUGGCUUAGAAGCAGCCAUCAUUUAAAGAAAGCGUAAUAGCUCACUGGUCGAGUCGGCCUGCGCGGAAGAUGUAACGGGGCUAAACCAUGCACCGAAGCUGCGGCAGCGACGCUUAUGCGUUGUUGGGUAGGGGAGCGUUCUGUAAGCCUGUGAAGGUGUGCUGUGAGGCAUGCUGGAGGUAUCAGAAGUGCGAAUGCUGACAUAAGUAACGAUAAAGCGGGUGAAAAGCCCGCUCGCCGGAAGACCAAGGGUUCCUGUCCAACGUUAAUCGGGGCAGGGUGAGUCGACCCCUAAGGCGAGGCCGAAAGGCGUAGUCGAUGGGAAACAGGUUAAUAUUCCUGUACUUGGUGUUACUGCGAAGGGGGGACGGAGAAGGCUAUGUUGGCCGGGCGACGGUUGUCCCGGUUUAAGCGUGUAGGCUGGUUUUCCAGGCAAAUCCGGAAAAUCAAGGCUGAGGCGUGAUGACGAGGCACUACGGUGCUGAAGCAACAAAUGCCCUGCUUCCAGGAAAAGCCUCUAAGCAUCAGGUAACAUCAAAUCGUACCCCAAACCGACACAGGUGGUCAGGUAGAGAAUACCAAGGCGCUUGAGAGAACUCGGGUGAAGGAACUAGGCAAAAUGGUGCCGUAACUUCGGGAGAAGGCACGCUGAUAUGUAGGUGAAGUCCCUCGCGGAUGGAGCUGAAAUCAGUCGAAGAUACCAGCUGGCUGCAACUGUUUAUUAAAAACACAGCACUGUGCAAACACGAAAGUGGACGUAUACGGUGUGACGCCUGCCCGGUGCCGGAAGGUUAAUUGAUGGGGUCAGCGCAAGCGAAGCUCUUGAUCGAAGCCCCGGUAAACGGCGGCCGUAACUAUAACGGUCCUAAGGUAGCGAAAUUCCUUGUCGGGUAAGUUCCGACCUGCACGAAUGGCGUAAUGAUGGCCAGGCUGUCUCCACCCGAGACUCAGUGAAAUUGAACUCGCUGUGAAGAUGCAGUGUACCCGCGGCAAGACGGAAAGACCCCGUGAACCUUUACUAUAGCUUGACACUGAACAUUGAGCCUUGAUGUGUAGGAUAGGUGGGAGGCUUAGAAGUGUGGACGCCAGUCUGCAUGGAGCCGACCUUGAAAUACCACCCUUUAAUGUUUGAUGUUCUAACGUUGACCCGUAAUCCGGGUUGCGGACAGUGUCUGGUGGGUAGUUUGACUGGGGCGGUCUCCUCCUAAAGAGUAACGGAGGAGCACGAAGGUUGGCUAAUCCUGGUCGGACAUCAGGAGGUUAGUGCAAUGGCAUAAGCCAGCUUGACUGCGAGCGUGACGGCGCGAGCAGGUGCGAAAGCAGGUCAUAGUGAUCCGGUGGUUCUGAAUGGAAGGGCCAUCGCUCAACGGAUAAAAGGUACUCCGGGGAUAACAGGCUGAUACCGCCCAAGAGUUCAUAUCGACGGCGGUGUUUGGCACCUCGAUGUCGGCUCAUCACAUCCUGGGGCUGAAGUAGGUCCCAAGGGUAUGGCUGUUCGCCAUUUAAAGUGGUACGCGAGCUGGGUUUAGAACGUCGUGAGACAGUUCGGUCCCUAUCUGCCGUGGGCGCUGGAGAACUGAGGGGGGCUGCUCCUAGUACGAGAGGACCGGAGUGGACGCAUCACUGGUGUUCGGGUUGUCAUGCCAAUGGCACUGCCCGGUAGCUAAAUGCGGAAGAGAUAAGUGCUGAAAGCAUCUAAGCACGAAACUUGCCCCGAGAUGAGUUCUCCCUGACCCUUUAAGGGUCCUGAAGGAACGUUGAAGACGACGACGUUGAUAGGCCGGGUGUGUAAGCGCAGCGAUGCGUUGAGCUAACCGGUACUAAUGAACCGUGAGGCUUAACCUU
Molecule: ribosomal RNA, 2548 nt
Filed under: Escherichia coli
Lineage: Bacteria; Pseudomonadati; Pseudomonadota; Gammaproteobacteria; Enterobacterales; Enterobacteriaceae
Also listed under: 1 other name
Description: partial 23S ribosomal RNA
Rfam family: Bacterial large subunit ribosomal RNA
Source: RNAcentral